This 41-nucleotide ribosomal RNA is filed under the name Beauveria bassiana. Its description in RNAcentral is "partial 18S ribosomal RNA". Lineage: Eukaryota; Fungi; Ascomycota; Sordariomycetes; Hypocreales; Cordycipitaceae. The record is from RNAcentral.
ACAAGGUCUGCCGUUGGUAGAACCAGCGGAGGGAUGCAUUA